Non-coding RNA from Frankia sp., 83 nucleotides. The record is from Rfam. NCBI's taxonomy places the organism in Bacteria, Bacillati, Actinomycetota, Actinomycetes, Frankiales, Frankiaceae.
GCGCAUGGCCGCUACUGGCGCGGGUGGAUGACCACCGGGGAACGGCCGGAAGACCGUCGACGCCGACCGCCUGGGCCCGCGAC